AUUAAAAAAAAAUAAAUAAAAUUAAAAUUAAUAUUAAAAUUAAAUGGCAUGCAUUUUGUGUAUUAAAGUCAUCUAUGUAGAACAUGUUGAUGCUGAAUAAAGGAACAUGUUUCAGAAAUUGUAAUUUUCAUUCAUUCCACCACUAGAUUUUGAGCUCUUGGGGUCUGCCGGGCCUGUAGUAAGAAUUAGGGAUGCAAGGAGAUGUAAGGACCUGUGCCUGCUUGCAAGCGGUCAGGGUCCUCCAUUUAGGGGGGAGAUGCCUGAUCCACGAACAACCAAGUGUGACACAAUGGGAUAAGCAACGACCCCACGGGGGAAACUGAGAAGGGGACCUUCCCAAUCCAGGAAGUGUCGGUCUUUUCCCAAAAAUUUUGAAAUCGACCAUCUUUGCAGGGAUGGAGGAGAGAAGAAAGAAUUACAGAAGGAAAAUCAAACUUGAGAAAGCGAAGCUAUCAGGCAAGUAGAGGUAGGAAUUAAAAAAAAAAAAUCUUCCUCCAACCCCGUGAAACAGGUCACGUGGUCUCCGUGAACAAUGAGCUCAAUUUAAAUGAAUGUAGCCUUUCUUCAAUGAAAUGCACCGUGGAUUUCAAUAUAGACAGUCUGCAUUCCCCAGACUAAUAUAUUUAUCAUCAAACCCCAGCGUAACUCGCCCUACAGUGAAUUCAGACACAGCAUGAAAUUUCCUGCUCUCCAGCAGGCUCACCUCAAUCCAUCCAUUAAUCCCACAAUAACACAACCCCACAUUUUACACAGGUGAAAGUUUUGGCCCCCACUUGCAGAACCUUAGGAGGAUUUACAGGCUUGAGUAAUGAACGUCGGCUUUACACCAGUGGUCCUCAAACUUCAGGGUGCAUCGCAAUCACCUGGAGGGAGGGCUUCUUAAACUACAGAGUUUCUCCUUCUGGAGGUCCUGGGCAAGGCCUGAUGAUUUGCAUUUCUGACAAGUUGCCAGGUGAUGCUGCUGCUGCGGCAGGGACAGCUCUUUGGGAACCACUACUGUGGACUUUAAUAGCAUAAAUUUAAAAGAAAGAAAGGCAGCCUUUCUGUCCCAGGGCAGCCAUCAGCUCGAAGGUCAGCCAAGAUGGGUGCUUACAAGUAUGUCCAGGAGCUGUGGUGGAAGAAGCAGUCCAUGGGUGUCUUCUUCUCAGGGCGCCCUCCCCCAGCCCUCUGCACUCCAUAGCCCCUCCCCCCACCCAGCCCAGCUGAUAAAGAGCACAAACCGGGAUAGAGCAUGGUUAUGUCACCUAUCGGAUUUGUGUGCAUGGUGGUGGCUGUAAACUCCCCAUUCCUAAGGGUGCAACCAAGGGCAAGCCUGUCCAUCACGGUGUCCACCAGCUGAAGUUUGCCGGAAGCCUUCAGUCUGCUGCUGAGGAGUGAGUUGGAUGCCCGUGUGGGGCGCUGAGAACCCUGGAAUCUUCUUACUGGGUGGGUGAAGUUUCUACAUACAAACUCUUUGAGGUCAUCUUCUUUGAUCCCAUUCCAUAAAGCAUCAGAAGAAAUCCUGACACCCAGAGGAUCACCAAACUAGUCCACGAGCACAGGGGGAUGCCAGGGCUGACACGUGCAGGCUACAAGAGCCAUGCAAAAGCCUUCCAUGGGCCUUGGACGGGGCCCCAAGUUCCACCACAUUAUUGGUCCUCCUGUGCAGCUUGGAGAAGAGGCAACACUCCCCAGCUCCCCGUUAUUGCUAGGGGGUGAUUUUUCUGACACUGCUAUGACAUACUGUGAGGCUUUACCCAUAACACAGUGCAUGAUAUACCUAUAUAUUGUUGGCUGCUUAGAGAACCAUAUUCCAGUUGAAAUUGACAGAAAUUUCACAAGACCUGACUGUCCUCGCAGCGCUGUUGAAGGAGCAUCUCGGUUCAAGUCAGCAACAGGCACACCUGGGAGUGGAACAUUCUAUCAUGAUGAUUCAUAAACUAAAGCUUUGAGAGUCUAAGUCGCAGACUCAUAAAUGGCUGAGCCAGGAUUCAAACCCAGAUGUGUCUGACUGCAAAGGCCAUUUAUUCAAACUGCUAUGCUACAACCAUGUUGUCUAUAUAAAAUGCAACUUAUUCUAAAGAAGGAAGCAUUGCCAACACAUGGAGAGUAAUUGGAGACCCCAGGAGACAGUGAGAUCCCAGGAAACAUCCAGGGUAGAAUUGGGACAGAUCAGUGGAAAUUGCAGACUUCCUGUGGCUUCCCAUACAGGAAUCUGGCUUCAACAUGUUCAUUGCCUGGAUGAUCUUCAAUUCUAUGACUCAAAGAUUCUGUGAGAGUCAGUGUCUUUAUAGAGGCAUGAUAAUGAACUUUCCAACACA
This is a long non-coding RNA of Felis catus (domestic cat), 2300 nucleotides long. RefSeq lists it as uncharacterized. NCBI's taxonomy places the organism in Eukaryota, Metazoa, Chordata, Mammalia, Carnivora, Felidae. The transcript is spliced from 5 exons. The record is from RefSeq and is a predicted model, not a curated record.